This is a non-coding RNA of Corynebacterium riegelii, 403 nucleotides long. It matches the Rfam family "Bacterial RNase P class A". Rfam says of the family: Ribonuclease P (RNase P) is a ubiquitous endoribonuclease, found in archaea, bacteria and eukarya as well as chloroplasts and mitochondria. Its best characterised activity is the generation of mature 5'-ends of tRNAs by cleaving the 5'-leader elements of precursor-tRNAs. Lineage: Bacteria; Bacillati; Actinomycetota; Actinomycetes; Mycobacteriales; Corynebacteriaceae. The record is from Rfam.
UGAGUUGGCUGGGUGAUCGCGGCGUUGUGAACCGCCCCAAACUUGGGGUAGGCGCAGGUCGAGGAAAGUCCGGACUCCACAGGGCACGGUGGUUGCUAACGGCAACCCGGAGCGAUCCGCGGGAAAGUGCAACAGAGAGCAAACCGCCACUGCCGUAAGGCAGGGGUAAGGGUGAAAGGGUGCGGUAAGAGCGCACCGGCGUUUGUGGUGACACAGGCGGCCAGGUAAACCCCACCGGGAGCAAGGCAAGAGCCCCCGCCUUUAAGGCGGAGGUUGUCGGACGUGAUGAGGCUGCCCGCCCAGUCCGAAGGUAGCUGCUUGAGGCCGCCCAGCAAUGGGUGGUCCAGAUGGAUGAUCGCCGCCCGAAAGGGUACAGAAUCCGGCUCAUAGGCUGACUCAUUCG